GCGUAUAUUAAAAUUAUGUAGUUUUACUGUUGGGGAACCAGGCGAAGUGACAUUAUAUCUGUGAGUGACUAUGAAUUUCGCGCGAAGAUAGUUGUAUUUAUAAUUUCAAACACUUUUUCAUGGCUUUGCAAAUGGUCAAUACGCAUUUGUUUGAAAAAAUUGUAAUAACUCAGAAGUAAUAUUAUUUUACAGCAUCAAACCGACCAACAAAAUAUCUUUUAUGGGAAAAAACAGGAUUCAUCACCUCUAAGCACAAAAGGUACGUGACCUGUAAGAAGAAGAGAUGUUAUAUUUUAAUUAGGAUGUGCUCAUCUAAUUAGUUUUAUUUUACAAUGUCCUUUAAAUGCCAUGUUUCCCUAUGGUCAGUAGUAAGAGUGUGCAAUACUGUUGAGUCGUUCGCGAACGAUUCAUUCAAUAGAACCGAAUCUUUUAAGUAAACGUACUGAACCGAAUCUCUUCCUCGAGUGAUUUGUUCAUUUCUCGCUUCAGUUGAGCUGAAGUGAGAAAAAGAAUUGCCAGUUGAGCAGCCGUCGAGUGAGGGACCGCAUGCACCGACACUUGAAUCACUUGGUGAACGAAUCACGCAUUGAACCACACUCCCUGGAAUCAUUUUUGUCAGACAAAACUACCUUUUU
Molecule: non-coding RNA, 635 nt
Organism: Xyrichtys novacula (pearly razorfish)
Lineage: Eukaryota; Metazoa; Chordata; Actinopteri; Labriformes; Labridae
Source: the annotation of a GenBank genome assembly